UGGGCAACCUGCCCCAGACACAGGGAUAACCCCGGGAAACCGGGGCUAAUACCGGAUACUCCGGUCGAACCGCGUGGCUCGAUCGGGAAAGCUCCGACGGUCUGGGAUGGGCCCGCGGCCUAUCAGCUUGUUGGUGGGGUAACGGCCUACCAAGGCGACGACGGGUAGCUGGUCUGAGAGGACGAUCAGCCACACUGGGACUGAGACACGGCCCAGACUCCUACGGGAG
RNAcentral lists this ribosomal RNA (229 nucleotides) under uncultured bacterium. RNAcentral describes it as "partial 16S ribosomal RNA". It matches the Rfam family "Bacterial small subunit ribosomal RNA", at positions 118 to 347 of the family's 1533-position model. The record is from RNAcentral.